Long non-coding RNA from Sander lucioperca (pikeperch), 227 nucleotides. RefSeq lists it as uncharacterized. The transcript is spliced from 3 exons. NCBI's taxonomy places the organism in Eukaryota, Metazoa, Chordata, Actinopteri, Perciformes, Percidae. The record is from RefSeq and is a predicted model, not a curated record.
UGCAACUCAACUUUAGACAGUUCAGUUGAAGAUUUUGGUGUGUUGUGCUAGUAGCGGCUAAUGUAGAUUCAAGCCUGUUGCCUGCAGCAGAGAUGAGCAGCGGGCUACAGAGGUCUGGUUAGCUCACCUCGUUCUUACUCCACACCUCUAGAUUUUUUUCAUUUUCAAACUUGUAGUCUUUAGUCCCAACUGACACUGACUCAAGUGACUUCACUUGAUGUAAUUUA